Molecule: ribosomal RNA, 581 nt
Filed under: uncultured bacterium
Lineage: Bacteria
Description: partial 16S ribosomal RNA
Rfam family: Bacterial small subunit ribosomal RNA
Source: RNAcentral
UGGGGGAAUUUUGGACAAUGGGCGAAAGCCUGAUCCAGCAAUGCCGCGUGUGUGAAGAAGGCCUUCGGGUUGUAAAGCACUUUUGUCCGGAAAGAAAUCCUCUGGGUUAAUACCUCGGGGGGAUGACGGUACCGGAAGAAUAAGCACCGGCUAACUACGUGCCAGCAGCCGCGGUAAUACGUAGGGUGCAAGCGUUAAUCGGAAUUACUGGGCGUAAAGCGUGCGCAGGCGGUUUUGUAAGACGGAUGUGAAAUCCCCGGGCUUAACCUGGGAACUGCAUUCGUGACUGCAAGGCUAGAGUAUGGCAGAGGGGGGUAGAAUUCCACGUGUAGCAGUGAAAUGCGUAGAGAUGUGGAGGAAUACCGAUGGCGAAGGCAGCCCCCUGGGCCAAAUACUGACGCUCAUGCACGAAAGCGUGGGGACAAACAGGAUUAGAUACCCUGGUAGUCCACGCCCUAAACGAUGUCAACUAGUUGUUGGGGAUUCAUUUCCUUAGUAACGUAGCUAACGCGUGAAGUUGACCGCCUGGGGGAGUACGGUCGCAAGAUUAAAACUCAAAGGAAUUGACGGGGUCAUAGCUG